RNAcentral lists this ribosomal RNA (1074 nucleotides) under Cerataphis bambusifoliae. RNAcentral describes it as "partial large subunit rRNA". The record is from RNAcentral. Lineage: Eukaryota; Metazoa; Arthropoda; Insecta; Hemiptera; Hormaphididae.
UAAUUAUUUAAAGUAAUAUUUAAUUAGAUUUGUAAAUAAUUUUUUUAUAAAAAUAUUUUAUUUUUAAUUUGUUUUAGUAUUUAGUAAAAAUAAAUUUUUAGAUUUAUAGUUAAUAAGUAUUGUAAAAGAAAUUUAAUAAAUAAUUAAAAGAUUUAAUUUAAGUACCUUUUGUAUCAGGGUUAAUUAAAAUUUUUAAUUUAUUUUAAUUUCUCAAAAUUUAUAGAGUUAAUUUUAUUAUUAAUUUAUUAUUUUAUUAAUAUUUAAAAAAUAAUUUUAGUUUUGAAAUUUAAUUUCGUUAUAAUAUAUUUAGUUAUUUAAGAUUUAAAUUUAAUUUAUAAUUUUAAAAGUUAUAUUAAUUUUUUUAAUAUUAAUAUUUUAAAUUUAAAUUAUUUUAGGGAUAAGCUUGAAAUUUAUAUAUAAUUAUGCAUAAAAAAUUAAAUAUUUUAUAGAAAUAGAAAUUUUUAUUUUAAAGUUUGUAAAAAUUUAUUAUUUAAUUUUAUUUAAUUUAUUAUAAUUUAUUUAUUUUUAAUAUUAAAUUUUAUAAUAAAAUAUUUUUUUUAUAGUAAUAAUGAUUAAAUUAGUAUAAUAUUAAUUUAUUAAUUAUGAAUUUGGCAAAAUUUAUUUUCAUCUGUUUAACAAAAACAUUGUAUUAAUUUUUAUUUAAUAUAGGAUCUGCUCAAUGAAUUAAUUUUAAAUAGCUGCAGUAUAAUGACUGUGCAAAGGUAGCAUAAUAAUUAGUUUUUUAAUUGAAAACUUGAAUGAAAGAUUUGAUGAAAAAUAAACUUUAUUAUUAAUAUAUUUAUAAUUUUAUUUUUAAGUAAAAAAGCUUAAAUAAUUUAAAGGGACGAUAAGACCCUAUAAAACUUUAUAAUUUUUAGAUUUAUUUUUUUUUUGUUUAAAUAAAUUAAUUAAUUUUAAUAAUUAUUUUAUUGGGGUGAUAAAAAAAAUUUUUUAACUUUUUUUAAAUUAAACAUUAUUAAAUGAUUAUUUGAAUUAAAAAUUUUAAUUAAAGGAAAAAGUUACUUUAGGGAUAACAGCGUAAUUAAUUUUUUAAGUUCAAAUUUUAAAAUUAGU